RNAcentral lists this ribosomal RNA (466 nucleotides) under uncultured bacterium. RNAcentral's name for it is "partial 16S ribosomal RNA". It matches the Rfam family "Bacterial small subunit ribosomal RNA", at positions 29 to 506 of the family's 1533-position model. The record is from RNAcentral.
ACGAACGCUGGCGGCGUGCUUAACACAUGCCAGUCGAACGGAAAGGCCCUGCUUUUGUGGGGUGCUCGAGUGGCGAACGGGUGAGUAACACGUGAGUAACCUGCCCUUGACUUUGGGAUAACUUCAGGAAACUGGGGCUAAUACCGGAUAGGAGCUCCUGCUGCAUGGUGGGGGUUGGAAAGUUUCGGCGGUUGGGGAUGGACUCGCGGCUUAUCAGCUUGUUGGUGGGGUAGUGGCUUACCAAGGCUUUGACGGGUAGCCGGCCUGAGAGGGUGACCGGCCACAUUGGGACUGAGAUACGGCCCAGACUCCUACGGGAGGCAGCAGUGGGGAAUAUUGCACAAUGGGCGGAAGCCUGAUGCAGCAACGCCGCAUGCGGGAUGACGGCCUUCGGGUUGUAAACCGCUUUCGCCUGUGACGAAGCGUGAGUGACGGUAAUGGGUAAAGAAGCACCGGCUAACUACGU